AAGACAGGACCACAAGCUGUGGGUCCAGGAACAUUAGAGGAGCUGAGCAGACACUGGGGCCCUUGUCCUGGGGCAGCGGAGGAGGCCUCGGGCCAGAUGGAGAACAGCCGGCCUCUUCCUCCCACACCCCCGUCCAGCUCCCGGGCCUUCAUGAGAAGAACAGAGACUUCCCUGCAAGGCCUGGUGAAGUGCGGCCUGACCCCAGCCAGACACGGGAGCUGUAAGAUCUUCAGGGAGCUGGGACGCGGAGGCACAGGCUGCCUUGCCAGACUUCAGGCCUGAGGAGUUGGUGAACCCUUCUCAGCAACGGGCUCUCUGGCUACAGAAAACAACCCCAACUUUGGACUAUGGGGCUAAGAGUCUUGGGGGGAAGGGGGGCUGCAAUGUGUGCUGGCCGCUCAAGGAAGUGCCGAGCGCACAGGGAUCCUGUGAGCAUACACCCUCUUGGAAUUGGGGUUCUGGUGCAGAUCCGGGCCACUCCCCUAAAUUACAUGCAGUUUUACUGUGUGCCGUGA
This 515-nucleotide long non-coding RNA is filed under the name Mus musculus (house mouse). RNAcentral's name for it is "predicted gene, 50295". The record is from RNAcentral. Lineage: Eukaryota; Metazoa; Chordata; Mammalia; Rodentia; Muridae.